This 496-nucleotide ribosomal RNA is filed under the name uncultured bacterium. RNAcentral describes it as "partial 16S ribosomal RNA". It matches the Rfam family "Bacterial small subunit ribosomal RNA", at positions 28 to 506 of the family's 1533-position model. The record is from RNAcentral.
GAUGAACGCUGGCGGCGUGCCUAAUACAUGCAAGUCGAGCGAACAGACGAGGAGCUUGCUCCUCUGACGUUAGCGGCGGACGGGUGAGUAACACGUGGAUAACCUACCUAUAAGACUGGGAUAACUUCGGGAAACCGGAGCUAAUACCGGAUAAUAUAUUGAACCGCAUGGUUCAAUAGUGAAAGACGGUUUUGCUGUCACUUAUAGAUGGAUCCGCGCCGCAUUAGCUAGUUGGUAAGGUAACGGCUUACCAAGGCAACGAUGCGUAGCCGACCUGAGAGGGUGGCGGGCCCACCGGGAACUGAGACAGGGCCCAAACCCCUACGGGAGGCAGGAGUAGGGAAUUUUCCGCAAGGGGGGAAAGGUUGCCGGAGCAACGCCGGGGGGGUGAAGAGGGUUUUGGGAUCGAAAACCUCUUUUAUUGGGGAAAAACAAAUUGUUAAGUAACUAUGCACGUUUUGACGGUACUAAAGCAAAAAGCCACGGCUAACUACGU